AGCUCCAUUGCCCGCUC
This 17-nucleotide microRNA is filed under the name Corchorus olitorius. Its description in RNAcentral is "mmu-miR-19". The record is from RNAcentral. Lineage: Eukaryota; Viridiplantae; Streptophyta; Magnoliopsida; Malvales; Malvaceae.